Fundulus heteroclitus (mummichog) is the source of this 822-nucleotide long non-coding RNA. RefSeq lists it as uncharacterized. The record is from RefSeq and is a predicted model, not a curated record. The transcript has 5 exons. NCBI's taxonomy places the organism in Eukaryota, Metazoa, Chordata, Actinopteri, Cyprinodontiformes, Fundulidae.
AUAAUACAUUAUUUCAUACAACCGCAUAAUGUGACAGAAGGAGUUACUUUUGCUUUUAACAUCUCUAUUUUGGUUGUAAUUCACCACUUCCUGAUAAUUUGACUCUUUCACCAGAGUCAUCUAGCGGGCUGAUCAGUUUAAACUUAAUUGUUGUUCUUUGUUAUUGUGUUUAACAUUGUUUUGUCACCAUUGAUUAUUCAGGCAACCCUGUGCAUGAGGGGACAGAAACCAGGAGCUCUAAAAUUAACCUGAAUUGGAGCUUGUCUGAACUGAACAACUUUGUGUGUCAAAGCUACCCACAAAUCAGCCUAAAUCUGGUUGGCUUUGAACUGGCAAGAGCUGGAAAAGGACGAAAGGUAAAAAAAUUACAAGUGAAUUCUGUGAGGGAGCUGAAGGAAAAGGUUGGCAAAAGCAGACUCUACAUUCUACCACGAGCAGAUGUGUCACAGGAAACCUACUCAACCUCAGCAAUGUCCAGGACUUUGUUUCCAGAACCCUCAAUUGUACCAGAAGUACAGAAUAUCUCUCCAGAGGCUGAGAGUACCAACAGACAACAUUUGGGGGAAGAGCAGACACUUCUAGAUUGGCAAUCUCUGCGGUCCCAGCAAGACAAAGAGUAUGAAGAGUCUUUGCUAGCAGACCAAGAAAAAGAAAGGAGAAGACAGUGUUACAAGGCCUGGGAGGAAAGACGCAUAAAAGCAAUUGAAGAACGCCAGCAACGACUGGCGGUACAUGAAGAACCAUCAAGUGGGCUGCUUUUGAAGUUCAAAUAUCCGAAUGGAUUUAUCACAAAGAGAACUUUCAAUGUGUCUGACCCAAUCC